Long non-coding RNA from Daucus carota subsp. sativus, 1196 nucleotides. RefSeq lists it as uncharacterized. The transcript has 5 exons. Lineage: Eukaryota; Viridiplantae; Streptophyta; Magnoliopsida; Apiales; Apiaceae. The record is from RefSeq and is a predicted model, not a curated record.
UUUUUGGGCCCUGGGCGGUCGGCAUGGUUGCCCUCCCUCAGGGCCGGGCCUGCAGAUGGAUGGAGUUUCCAUAACAUAGAUGAACUCAGCCACAGUAGAUGACCAAGAUAAUUGGGUAACAUCAAAAGAAUCAAGGGAUUAAAAGAAGAGCGUGCACUUUUUGUUAGUCUUUGCAGUCACAUGAUUCAACACACAGAAGAGGGAUUUGACAAGUUUUUGCUAUCUUUGAGUAUUGUCUAGUUGGGAAACCCUCUUGGCUCUUACUUUCUGAUAUAGUGAUAGAAAAAAUUUCUUGUUCAGCUUAAUAGCUUAUCCAAUCCAUUCCAAAACAUCAUCUCCUUCCUUUUUUCCCCGUUCUUCCUCCUACUGAUCAAGAUCCCCACAUGUCUGAUUCGUCUUUUUCUCUAUUGAUGGAGAUUUUAAACUUUAUCCAAGCUGCUUCAAAAAUGUAAGCUCACGUCGAUGGAGCUGAUUGUUGUGAUGAAUCUUCGUUGUCUCCUCAGUGUUGUUCAAUGGUUAGAUCAUCUUUAAAUGCCAAACUCAAACAAAAUUCAAUGCUAGGUAAAGCUUUCCGAAAUAGUAUGAUUUUUGUAAUACCAUUUUCAGAUCUUUUUACUUUAUUGCCUUUUAUCAUUUUCUCCAUGUUGUAUAGAUUGUUUUGUUUUAUAUGUGAUAGUCCACAUGCUUCAUAAUGAUAAGGAGAACAAUAAGUCUUUGGAUUUAAAUGGUUACAUCAUCCUGGCUAAGUUUCUAAUCUCUGUUGUUUGCAGCAUCAGUUUAUGAAGUUAAAUCUAUAAAUUUUAGGAUUGAUUGUCAAAACUUAGUUAUACAUAUAAAUUCUGCUUUCUGAGAGUAUAGAUUUCUGUUUUGGAUACAGUCAACACAUUAUACAAGUGCCAAUAGUACUGAUGUUGCUCGAUUUUUUAACGUGCUUGAGAUCAUAUCAGUGCUUGAGAUCAUUUCACCACUGGGGCUCUUAGCAAGAGAUUGGAUUUGGAUUGGCUGCUCGAUUCUCUCAAUUUGAAUGGUGUCCCCCAAAGGAACGCCAUAUUAGAACUUUAAAUAAAUUUUGAAGUCUCCUUAUUCAGAACAAUCUAUUCAAACUGCUUCGCCUGUGGCAAUCUCGAUCCCUCCAGCAGCGCCAGUAUGCUUUCUCCUGUACUGGUAUCUACGAGCGCAAUAUAAAAAGAUGAAAA